Molecule: ribosomal RNA, 322 nt
Filed under: Conothele sp. MYG544
Lineage: Eukaryota; Metazoa; Arthropoda; Arachnida; Araneae; Ctenizidae
Description: partial 12S ribosomal RNA
Source: RNAcentral
UCUAGAAGAAAAAAGGUAAUACUUCUUAAGGAAACCUUCAUCUUUUGGCGGCCUUAUUCCUUUUUAGAGGAACUCGUCUCAUAAUCGACAAUCCUCGCUAUUUCUAACUUUUCCCUUUUUCUCUUAUACCGCCGUCUUUAGAAUCACUUUUUUUUCAAAAAAAAAGAGUUUUAUUAAGUCAGGUAAAGGUGAGGAUUAUGGGAAAGAGAAGAUAAGUUACUCAUAAAUAUAAUUUUUGGAUUAAUAACUAACAUUAUUAUGAAACAGGAUUUAAUAGUAAUUUUUUACUAAUAUUUUACAAUGAACUAGUAAAGUUAGGUGU